GUGUGACAUCAGCGGUCAUGGAGAGUCUCCAUCCAGCUGGAUCACUGUCACAGGCAAACCUACAAACACAACCCUUGCCCAUGAACCCUCCUCCCCCCACCUUGUGUCCAGGGUUUCCCUCCACCUGGUGGUGUUCUGUCCAUACUUCAUCUCCACUCUGCUCAUGGUAUCUUUAUAUCGAUGGAGAGCCACAGGAAGUGACCUUAUCCCUGUGGUAACAGCACCACCCACCCAAGCUAGGGAGAGACUGGCUGAAGACUGUGAUGACAUUGUUGGCGUGAUCACUGAGCAUCACUUCUGAGUUCCUGUUUAAUCUAUCAGAUUGUGGUCAUCACAUCUCUGUGAUUGAACAACGUGCGACGCCGCAGAUUUAAACUGGAAUAUUAUGCUUUGAUGAAUAAAUAAAUACAUGAAGAACACAUGGACCAGUCAAAGACUGAACGGUAGUAAUGGAAGUUUAAUGGAUUUAAAGCACUUACAUGAAAUCAUUCUCCUGUCAAAAGAUUCAAACAUUGUGUAAUAAAACAUGUGACGGUGUGAGAAACACCUGCACCUCUGCAAUCUGCUCACAUGUUCCUGUUAAACAGGAAACUGAACGACUACAGUGCCGUGAACAUCUGUUAACCACAGGCUAAAAGACUGGUGGUCCUGCAAGAACACCGCCCACUGCUACCUUUCAUCUGCAAACACACACUGACUGCAGGAUGGGCAUUUAGAAACUCUGGCUCAGUUUAUAUCAGUGAGACAGGCAGUUAAAACUGAACCUGGUGUUGUGUGCUACGAACUUAAAUUAAAUUACAAUCCACGAUUCUGUUCAGACCUUUUCUUAGUUGGUUUCUUUAUGAUUAUAAUCUCAGGUUUUUGUUACCUUUUCCAAUGAAGUUUCUGUUGGUAGUUUAUCUUUAAUUCUUUGAGUUCCAGUUUAUUCUGUCUCCUCUAUAUUCUCCUGUAUUUUAAUGCUGAUCUUGCUCUUUUUGUUCCCUUCUUACAUUGCUUCCUGUUUUACUUUGAUACCCUUUUGUUUCUUGUAUUUGAUUUCACAUCUUUGAUUACCCUUAUUAGCCUUUGUGUACUUAUAGCUUCAGUCUUCCUUUUUCGCUUGUGUCUUACUGUUUCUUCAGUGCCUUUUGGGGUUUGUGUCCUCGACAUCAAAUUUGUUUACUUACCUUUUAAAUGUUCAUUCUGAUGGUUUUUCACACUGUAGAUUGUAGAUCUUCAAAAUGAAGUGUACUGUUUGAGAUUUGAUGUUCUGUUUGUAACCCUCACAAGGUUAUCCACUGCUGCUCAUUACAUGUUUUUCAUGGAUGUGUGGUUAAGUAAUGAGUUCCCAAACAAUGUGGCAGAGAGGUGGUUUGUGCUUCUACAUUAAAUCCUGGUGCACAUGUCUGACAGUGUACGCACUUACUGCUCUGAUGUAGAUAGAUAAUUGUGUUGUUGAUUAUCCAGUGCAGACCUUCUGUAGUUUAUGUAACACCAGAUGAAAAUGCUGAAACAGCCAUGAAAGACUUCACUGACGCCAUCAGCAAACUGCAAAGACUCUAUCCAGAGGCCUUUGCUCUUGUCGGGUUUUAAUUACUGCAGUGUUUGAUCUAUGCAUCUAUCAGAAUGUUUGUUGUACAAACAGAGGACAUAAAAUUUUAUUCUAUCACACUGCACUUGUACUCUGUAGUUUGCACUAAAAACUGACCAUCAGGUCGCAGCAAACAUUAAAAACACAUGUAUAGAUUUCAGUUUCUAAUGAUUUAUGGUGUAGGCACCUGUCAGUCACAACUACUCAUGCUGUCCUCGGUGCACGCCUUCGUUUCUUCCUCUGUGAAAUUUUUGGGUGUCAUCCUCGACAGUACUCUGUCUUUCAAUUCACACAUUAAUAAUGCCACUCGUUCUGCAUAUUUUCAAUUGUGCAACAUUAAUCAGCUCCGUCCUUUUCUCACUCCACAUGCCACUGCCAUUCUUGUUCAUAGCCUUGUUACUUCCCGGAUCGAUUACUGUCAUUCACUUAUUUUUUGGUCUUACUCAAAAAUCCAUCCACAAGCUCCAAGGCGUCCAGAACUCUGCUGCUCGUAUCAUCACCAGGACUCCUUCUAUCCACCACAUCAAUACUGUCCUGCAGCAGCUUCAUUGGCUCCUGGUCAAAUAUUGUAUCAAUCUCAAAAUACUCUUGUACACAUUUAAGGCUAUUCAUCAUCUCUCUCCUCCAUAUCUCUCUGAUCUGGUUCAGAUCACCGCCCCAUCUCGGUGUCUUAGAUCCUCUUCUUCCCUUUCUCUCUCUGUCCCCUCUACCCGUCUUGCCACCAAGGGGAUCAUAGCUCAAUAGUUGGCAGUUCGUCUUAUAAUCAGAAGGUUGCCGGUUCGAGCCCCGGCUUGGACAGUCUCGGUCGUUGUGUCCUUGGCCAAGACACUUCACCUGUUGCCUACUGGUGGUGGUCAGAGGGCCCGGUGGCGCCAGUGUCCGACGGAAAAAUUAGGAGGACUUGGAGAGUGUUCAUCUGUGACAGGAGGCUGUAGACAGUGGAGUGAUUAUAGGAAGCAUUAAGCUUUCACAUGAAUCAGAGGGGGGGCAGGAAGUAGGUGGUUAAACAGAAAGUAAAACAUUAGGCUUGUGACAUACAGUUUAGAUGAUGUCACUUCUCUUGGGGAUUUUACAGGAAUUCGAGCUGCUUCUGAGAAAAGGUCAGAGCAAUGUAACUGCACUGAGUGAAGAUCAGGAUGGUUGUGUUUGUUAUUCAUUGUGAAGUUUUCACAGUGAAAUGUAAUUGUUUCACAAAGCAGUGAUUGUGUAUUCAGGUUGAUUCCACAUGUAAGAUUCACCAAAGAAGAAAGAUUUCACAUCAUCUAGCC
Molecule: long non-coding RNA, 2838 nt
Organism: Haplochromis burtoni (Burton's mouthbrooder)
Lineage: Eukaryota; Metazoa; Chordata; Actinopteri; Cichliformes; Cichlidae
Exons: 3
Source: RefSeq, a predicted model, not a curated record